GAUGAACGCUGGCGGCGUGCCUAAUACAUGCAAGUCGAGCGAACAGACGCGGCGCUUGCUCCUCUGUCGUUAGCGGCGCACGGGUGAGUAACACGUGGAUAACCUCCCUAUCAGACUGAUAUAACUUCGGGAAACCGGCGCUAAUACCGGAUAAUCUAUUGAACCGCAUGGUUCGAUAGUGAAAGACGGUUUUGCUGUCACUUAUCGAUGCAUCCGAGCCGCAUUAGCUAGUUGGUAAGGUAAAGGCUUACCAAGGCAACGAGGCGUAGCCGACCUGUGAGGGUGAUCGGCGACCCGGGAACGUAGACACGCUCCAGACUACUACGGGAGGCAGCAGUAGGGAACCGUCCGCAAUGGUCGAAAACCUGACGGAGCAACGCCGCGUGAGUGAUGAAAGUCCUCGGAUCGUAAAACUCUGUUACUAGGUAUGAACAAAUUUGUAAGUAACUAUGCACGGCUUGACGGUACCUAAUCAGAAAGCCACGGCUAACUACGUG
This 497-nucleotide ribosomal RNA is filed under the name uncultured bacterium. RNAcentral describes it as "partial 16S ribosomal RNA". It matches the Rfam family "Bacterial small subunit ribosomal RNA", at positions 28 to 507 of the family's 1533-position model. The record is from RNAcentral.